RNAcentral lists this ribosomal RNA (852 nucleotides) under uncultured Bacteroidota bacterium. RNAcentral's name for it is "bacterial SSU rRNA". It matches the Rfam family "Bacterial small subunit ribosomal RNA", at positions 63 to 905 of the family's 1533-position model. Lineage: Bacteria; Pseudomonadati; Bacteroidota. The record is from RNAcentral.
CGAACGGAGUUAUGGAGAGAGAGUGAGGUGCUUGCACCAAGUGAUCAUUUCAUAACUUAGUGGCGGACGGGUGAGUAACGCGUGGGUAACCUGCCAUAUACAGGGGGAUAACACUUAGAAAUAGGUGCUAAAACCGCAUAAGCGCACAGCUUCGCAUGAAGCAGUGUGAAAAACUCCGGUGGUAUAUGAUGGACCCGCGUCUGAUUAGCCAGUUGGCAGGGUAACGGCCUACCAAAGCGACGAUCAGUAGCCGGCCUGAGAGGGUGAACGGCCACAUUGGGACUGAGACACGGCCCAAACUCCUACGGGAGGCAGCAGUGGGGAAUAUUGCACAAUGGGGGAAACCCUGAUGCAGCGACGCCGCGUGAGUGAAGAAGUAUUUCGGUAUGUAAAGCUCUAUCAGCAGGGAAGAAAAUGACGGUACCUGAGUAAGAAGCCCCGGCUAACUACGUGCCAGCAGCCGCGGUAAUACGUAGGGGGCAAGCGUUAUCCGGAUUUACUGGGUGUAAAGGGAGCGUAGACGGCGAGACAAGUCUGGAGUGAAAACCCGGGGCUCAACCCUGGGACUGCUUUGGAAACUGCCUGGCUGGAGUGCAGGAGAGGUAAGUGGAAUUCCUAGUGUAGCGGUGAAAUGCGUAGAUAUUAGGAGGAACACCAGCGGCGAAGGCGGCUUACUGGACUGUAACUGACGUUGAGGCUCGAAAGCGUGGGGAGCAAACAGGAUUAGAUACCCUGGUAGUCCACGCCGUAAACGAUGAUCACUAGGUGUUGGGGGCCUACAGGCCUUCGGUGCCGUCGCAAACGCAAUAAGUGAUCCACCUGGGGAGUACGUUCGCAAGAAUGCAACUCAAA